This 563-nucleotide unclassified non-coding RNA is filed under the name Bradyrhizobium sp. TUTSBCK-28. Its description in RNAcentral is "partial contains 16S-23S ribosomal RNA intergenic spacer and 23S ribosomal RNA". The record is from RNAcentral. Lineage: Bacteria; Pseudomonadati; Pseudomonadota; Alphaproteobacteria; Hyphomicrobiales; Nitrobacteraceae.
GGCCAUAGCUCAACUGGAAAACCGCGAGCUUUGCAUUCAUGAGGUCGUCGGUUCGAUCCCGUCUGGCUCCACCAGAUGGUUUGAUCAUCGACUGAUCAUGCACCUAAAUCGUCCGCGAAACAUCACUUCGCAUCUUGCUAGUCUGGAUAAACUUCACGUUGCGUGAUUUCUGACAUCGUAAAGAGGAGAUCGAUCCGAGUUGGAUCGUGCAGCAAGCAAUUGCUACGCGAGACUUCAUUAUCUCCGGAUCAUUUCGGCGCUCGUGCGUCUUUCAAGGGCAGCUCACAAGGCUGCUUCUGGAGAGACAAGCGAGUUGUAAAUGAUCCUUUUAGCGAAGCUUGACCGCCUCGCUAUCGGAACGAUCUUACGAAGCAAGCUGGUCUUUCUAAUCAUUGUCCGGCUGCAGAUAGCGUUCAUCGAGGGCGCGUGCCGCAAGGCAGUUCUGCAGACAACAUUCUGCCGAGUGUGUGGACAUUGAUAAUGAGAGCAAUCAAGUGCCUUAAGGGUGUUCGGUGGAUGCCUUGGCGCUAAGAGGCGAUGAAGGACGUGCUACGCUGCGAUAA